This 329-nucleotide ribosomal RNA is filed under the name uncultured bacterium. RNAcentral's name for it is "bacterial SSU rRNA". It matches the Rfam family "Bacterial small subunit ribosomal RNA", at positions 568 to 898 of the family's 1533-position model. The record is from RNAcentral.
CGCGUAGGUGGUAGUGUAAGUCUGGGGCGGAAUCCCAGGGCUUAACCCUGGAACUGCCUUGGAAACUGCAUUACUUGAGUCAGUGAGGGGAGGGUAGAAUUCCUGGUGUAGCGGUGAAAUGCGUAGAUAUCAGGAGGAAGGCCUGUGGCGAAGGCGGCCCUCUGGCGCUGGACUGACACUGAGGCGCGAAAGCGUGGGGAGCAAACAGGAUUAGAUACCCUGGUAGUCCACGCCCUAAACGGUGGGCACUAGGUGUAGGGCUCGUAAGGGUUCUGUGCCGAAGGGAACCAUUAAGUGCCCCGCCUGGGGAGUACGGCCGCAAGGUUGAA